Molecule: ribosomal RNA, 837 nt
Filed under: Kurthia gibsonii
Lineage: Bacteria; Bacillati; Bacillota; Bacilli; Caryophanales; Caryophanaceae
Description: bacterial SSU rRNA
Rfam family: Bacterial small subunit ribosomal RNA
Source: RNAcentral
UCAGACGAACGCUGGCGGCGUGCCUAAUACAUGCAAGUCGAGCGAAUGACGAGAAGCUUGCUUCUCUGAUUUAGCGGCGGACGGGUGAGUAACACGUGGGCAACCUGCCCUACAGAUCGGGAUAACUCAGGGAAACCUGGGCUAAUACCGGAUAAUCCUUCGAAUCACAUGUUUUGAAGUUGAAAGGCGCUUCGGCGUCACUGUAGGAUGGGCCCGCGGUGCAUUAGCUAGUUGGUGGGGUAACGGCCUACCAAGGCAACGAUGCAUAGCCGACCUGAGAGGGUGAUCGGCCACAUUGGGACUGAGACACGGCCCAAACUCCUACGGGAGGCAGCAGUAGGGAAUCUUCCACAAUGGACGAAAGUCUGAUGGAGCAACGCCGCGUGAGUGAUGAAGGUUUUCGGAUCGUAAAACUCUGUUGUAAGGGAAGAACAAGUACGUUAGGAAAUGAACGUACCUUGACGGUACCUUAUUAGAAAGCCACGGCUAACUACGUGCCAGCAGCCGCGGUAAUACGUAGGUGGCAAGCGUUGUCCGGAUUUAUUGGGCGUAAAGCGCGCGCAGGUGGUUUCUUAAGUCUGAUGUGAAAGCCCACGGCUCAACCGUGGAGGGUCAUUGGAAACUGGGGAACUUGAGUGCAGAAGAGGAUAGUGGAAUUCCAAGUGUAGCGGUGAAAUGCGUAGAGAUUUGGAGGAACACCAGUGGCGAAGGCGACUGUCUGGUCUGUAACUGACACUGAGGCGCGAAAGCGUGGGGAGCAAACAGGAUUAGAUACCCUGGUAGUCCACGCCGUAAACGAUGAGUGCUAAGUGUUAGGGGGUUUCCGCCCCUUAGUGC